Non-coding RNA from Carassius auratus (goldfish), 555 nucleotides. The record is from the annotation of a RefSeq genome assembly. NCBI's taxonomy places the organism in Eukaryota, Metazoa, Chordata, Actinopteri, Cypriniformes, Cyprinidae.
GAUAAGAGAGAUUACAGUCAAGCAAGGCUUUUACCAGAAGGUGGAGCUCACAUUCAACUGAUUUCAGAACAGAGCACAUGCAAACUGAGUCAGUUAGGAGGAAACUGUUAGACCUGACUGAAAUAACUUUUUAUCUAAUUGAUGAUGUUGCUCCUUGUCCUCGUGAUAUUUUCCCUUUGUAAGGAUACUGUUGAUGCUGAAGUGAUAACAUCAUUCUUCACAAAGCAGGAUGUUUUGGCAGGAAGAGAUGUUACACUUUCCUGCAACUACAGCGGUAAUGUUCGCAGUCUGCAGUGGUACCGUCAGCAUCCCGGAUCCAAACCUGAGUUUCUGUUGCUGAUUGUUGAGUCUUCUAAUUAUGUCAUGAGAGCUGAGCAUCCUCAUCCACAUCUGUCCAUCAGACUCCGUAAUGAUGAAAGUGUGGAUCUGGAGUCGUCUUCUGCUGCUGUAUCAGACUCUGUCAGGUAUUACUGUGCCCUGCAGACCAGUGAAAGGAAAACAAACUACACUGGACAAAAACUUUAUCUUGAGGUGGAGCUCCAGGAACCAGUCUAG